Molecule: long non-coding RNA, 5249 nt
Filed under: Macaca fascicularis (crab-eating macaque)
Lineage: Eukaryota; Metazoa; Chordata; Mammalia; Primates; Cercopithecidae
Description: lncRNA (ENSMFAG00000060067.1)
Source: RNAcentral
AGACGGAGUCUCGCUCUGUCGCCCAGGCUGGAGGGCAGUGGCGCGAUCUUGGCUCACUGCAAGCUCCGGCUGCCGGGUUCACGCCAUUCUCCUGCCUCAGCCUCCACAGUAGCUGGGACUACAGAGCCCGCCUCGCUAGUUUUUUUGUAUUUUUUAGUAGAGACGGGGUUUCACCAGGUUAGCCAGGAUGGUCUCGAUCUCCUGACCUCGUGAUCCGCCCGUCUCGGCCUCCCAAAGUGCUGGGAUUACAGGCUUGAGCCACCGCGCCCGGCCUUUUUUUUUUUUUUUUUCCUUUUGAGACAGGGUCUUAGUCUGUCACCAUGGCUGGAGUGCAGUGGCGCAAUCAAAGCUUGCUGCAGCCUUGAACUCCUGGGCCUAAGCAAUCCUCCCACCUCAGCAACUAGGAUUACAGGCACAGGCCACCACACGUGGCCUUUUAAUUUACUUCUGUGCCAACAAAAUAAAACUCAGGCCUAGGAACAGCUUGGUUCAGAAAUCACAGAGGGACUUAGUAUUCCAUUAGUACAAAUUGAAAAAUUAAGUUCAUCAUCAGAUGAUAAAAGGAAUAAAACCUGAUACUCAUCUCAAAAGAUGCAGAAAAGACAUUUGAAUAAAUCCAGUACCUAUUAUUAUUUCAAAUUUAAAAACUACUUUUUUUUUUUUAAGAGAUAGAAUUGCACUUCUCAGCAUUUCACAUUAAGAACCCAACUGCACCUUUUUCUCUGCCUCUAAACACCUGUAGUCUGAUAGGGGAUACCCCCCCAGACCUUAAUCAUUCACAUAACACCUUGAGACUUUCUGCCAUAUCUGACUGAAUAUAGCCAGUCAUUUUUUCCCCUUAAAUCAAGUCACUUUUUUUUUUUUAAACAAAGUCUCGUUCUGUUGCCCUAGCAUGAUCUCAGCUCACUGCAACCUCCUCCUCCUGGGUUCAAGUGAUCCUUGUGCCUCAGCCUCUCGAGGAACUGGUAUUACAGAUGUGCACCACCAUACCUGGCUAACUUUUGUAUUUUUAGUAGAGACGGGUUUUUGCUAUGUUUGCCAGGCUGACGUCUAGCUCCUAGCCUCCUAUGAUCCGCCCACCUCAGCCUCCCAAAGUGAUUACAGCGUGAGUCACCUCACCCAGCCAAAUCAAGUCACUUUUAAAAUACAAAUUUAUUCUAUGUCUAAGGACAUUAUCGAUAAAGUGAAAACACAACCCACAGAAUGGGAGAAAAUAUUUGCAAACCAUAUAUCUGAUAAGGGCCUAGAAUCCAGAAUGUAUAAAGAACUCUUACAAUUCAGUCAUAAAAAGACAAACGCCUAAUUAAAAAGUGGACCAAGGCUCAGCACAGACACUUCUCCAGGGAACACACGCAUACAGCCAACAGCACCAGCAAAGGUGCUUGACAGCAUCACUCAUCAGAGAAAUGCAAGUCCAAAUGACAACAGAGGCUACUUCACACUCCAUUAGAGUGAUUCUAACCAAAAAGUCAGAUAAUAACUAGCGUUGGCAAGAAUGCACAAAAGUUGGAACCCUCUUACUUACUGGUGGGAAUGUAAAAUGCUGCAUCGACAUGGGAAAAUAGUCUGGCAGUUCCUCAAAAAUAUAGAGUUACUAUAUGACCCAGUAAUUCUACUCCUAGGUAUUUACUGAAUUGAAAACACAUGUUCGCACAAAAACUUGUACACAACUGUUCAUAGCACCAUUGUUCAUAAUAGCCCAAAACCAGAAAUAAUCCAAAUGUCCAAAUGAUUGUGAAUAAACAAAAUGGGGUCUAUCCAUACAGUAGAAUAUUAUUCAGUCAGAAAAAGGAAUGCAGUACUGUUCUAUGCUACAACAUGAAUGAACCCUGAAAACAUGCCAGACCCAUGUUUGAAAACAAGAAAACAAGACAGACCCAAAAAGACAAAUAUUUUAUGAUUACACUUACAUGAGGUCCCUAGAAGAGGCAAAUUCACACAGACAGAGAGCACAACAAAGUUUACCAGUAUGACAAAGGUUACCAAAGACCAGGGGAAGACACAGGUAGGAAGAUUUUUUUUGUUUUUUGUUUUUGUUUUUGUUUUUUAUGAAUACAGAGCUUCUGUUUGGGAUGAUGAAAAAGUUCUGGACAUGGAUAGUGUCGAUGGCUGCACAACAUAGCAAAUAUACUAAAAGCCGCUGAAUAGUACAUUUCAAAAGCAUGAAUUUUAUCUCAAUAUUUAGAAGGAAAAAUAUUCUUAGAAGAAACAAUAUUACCAUCAUAAAUGGAAAACCGGUAAUAACAAAAUACAUACAUACAUACAUAUUAAGAUUUACAAUGUCUAUUAGCAAGUCACCCUAACUCAUCUUACAGACCACCAGCAGGACAAUUACCCCUCUGGGCGACAUGAAAAAGGCUGCCGGGGGCUUAUGUCCAGUGCCCAGGGUCCAGCAUGGCCCUCUUCCUCGGUUUGCUGAUGGAUCCCACUUCUAUAGUGCGUCAGGAAGGAACCAGACCACCGUGCUCAUGGCUUGAUAGUUAUUGCAGCCAAUGGGAACAAGACAGGAAGAGAGAAGCAUAGAAAAUGGAAUAAGGUCUGUGAAUAAUGUAAUCAUCAAAGGUGACUGUUUUUCACUUGGUAUUCCCAAGAGACCAGGGCUCACUCCCUGUCAAGAGUGACUAGCAUAAUGCUUGCAUUAUUUCAUUAACCCUCAUCCUACUUCUUACAGAUGGGGAAACUGAGGCAGAAAGCAAAUAAGUAAAUAAGUAGUGGGUCCAGGAUCAGAUCCCGGCUCUCUGACUUGAAAGCCAAGACACUAUAUUGCCUCCCAAUUGACCCUAAUAGUGAAGUUCAGCGUAUCUAUUUACGAAACAAAGCAUAGUUAUUUAAAAGUCUUACCAUAUACUACCAUCAUCAGAAAUUUAAAUAGAAAAAUAUAUCCAACUGCAGUGUAGACUGUUAAAUUUCAAAGGACAAACUUCAUAAAUGUGCAUAACCUAUAUAAAGAGAAGUUCAAUACUCCCAAGAAAACAUGAAAAUCAUCAUAUCCUAAAUGAACAGGGAGUUCAGUUCCUCAGUGGGAAGUCUCAGUAUUAUAAUAUGGUUAUAAAUGUAAUGAAAUUCCAAUACAAAUUCAAACACUACUAAAAAGAAUGACAUGCACCUCUAUUUAUCAUAUAUCAAACUCAGUCAGUAGAAAGCUAAAAUAAUGAAAACAUUGGGUUGGCACAAGGAAAGACAGAUCUGAUACAACAGACUAAAAGUCCAAAAACAGAUGUCUAUUAAAUUAUUUGAGAUGGAGUCUCUCUCUGUCUCCCAGGCUGGAGUGCAGUGGUGCGAUCUCGGCUCACUGCAAGCUCUGCCUCGCGGGUUCACGCCAUUCUCCUGCCUCAGCCUCCCGAGUAGCUGGGACUACAGGCGCCGCCACCAUGCCCGGCUAAUUUUUUGUAUUUUUAGCAGAGACGGGGUUUCACCAUUUUAGCCAGGAUGGUCUCGAUUUCCUGACCUCGUGAUCCGCCCGCCUCGGCCCCGCAAAGUGCUGGGAUUAUAGGUGUGAGCCACCACGCCCAGCCCCUAUUUAUUUAUUUAUUUUUUGAGAUGGAGUCUCACCCUGUCUCCCAGGCUGGAAUGCAGUGGCACGAUCUUGGCUCACUGAAACCUCUGCCUCCUGGGUUCAAGUGAUUCUCCUGCCUCAGCCUCCUGAGGAGCUGGGAUUACAGGCACCCACCACCACGCCUGGCUAAUUUUUGUAUUUUUAGUAGAGACGGGAUUUCACCAUGUUGGCCAGACUGGUCUCAAAAUCCUGACCUUAAGUGAUCCACCCACCUUGGCUUCCCAAAGUGCUGGGAUUACAGGUGCGAGCCACUGCGCCUGGCCUAUUAAAUUAUUUAGUCCAUGGUUAUCAAGUGGCAUCCAAAUCAGUAGAGAAAGUAGAAUGAUUCAGUAUAUGGUGUUGGGAAAAUCAGGUUGCCAUUUGAAAUAAGUAAACUGGAUUCCUACAUCUUGUACUAUAAACCAAGUAGAUGGAUUAGAGUUUAAUGUCAAAAACAAAACCAUAAAGGAACCAGAAGAAAAUACAAUAUAACACCAAAGUAUGAAACCGUAAUAAUAAAAAAUGGAUAGACUUGGUUACAAAAUUUAAAACCAUUGGCAAGAUCCAACACUUAAAAGGCAAACUACAAAUGUGAACGAUGUUUUGUAAUAGGUAAGGGUAAAUGUCCUCAACACAGUUUUCACAAAGCAAUGAAAACAUAGGUGAAGCCCAAAGUAGAUGCACAGAUCAGCUCUAACAGACAAAAAAUAUCCAUUCAACCUCACAGAAUCCAGAAGUGCAAAUUAAAAUACUGAGAUACCAUUUCUUGCCUUCAAAUCAGCAAAGAUAAAAACAAAGACAGUGAGGGGCCAGACUAUGGGGACCCCCCACUGGUCACCUGCUGGGCACAUGGGCUCUGCCUGCCUGGGAGGAGGGCGCUCGGCAACAGAAGUCAAACUGCUCAUAGCCUCUGGGCCGGUUUCUUUCACUGUUAAGAAACUGCCAUAAGGAAAUGGUCAGAUGUAUGCACAACAGUGUCUCAGGAAACAGAGAAACUCACCCCACCCUAUUUCAAUAAAGUCAGAAAAAAAUCCUCAUCAGAAAACAGAAUGGUGUUUCAUUUAAAAAAAAAAAAAAAUUGAAGCCCAUACACAUCUUUCUGGAGUGGAGGCAGGUGGCCUCUGCCUUAUUUGUGAAAUAGGAAAGUAGUGGAAGUAAAGACUUUGGCAUCUUGCUCCAGGCACCUAGCUUGCAGCUCUAUUGUAGAACAAGGAGCCUAGUGAAAGAGGAGUGGACUGACCCUGGGGAAGCCACGGCAGAUCCCUAUGCAGAAUGGCAGUGCUGCUGAAGACGGUCAGUUAGGGAGGAGACAAAGGGGCCCCCGCUCAGCAGCCUCGAAAAAACCCCCGUGAACCAGACAGGAAGGACAAUGUGUUCAUGACGGUGGCCUUGAGACUCUGAAGAAAUGGCAAGUUCUGGUCUAUAUAAGCCCUCGUAAGGCAGAAAAGCAUGCAAUAUAUUUUGUAAAAAGCUCCAGCGGGCUAUGUACACCAGGAAUAGGCUGUUCAGGGGUUGGGCACAGGGGUCAGGUGCUGGACACUAGAACAGGAUUCCACUCCGACAUUCCAGGUACAUAGAACUUCCCAGUGAGAAGAGCUAGCCACACAGUAGCAGAGGCUUGGAAAGGAACCCACCCCAGCACAACUCUCUCUGAAUGUGACCUUGGCUGCAAGCUGGGUUUGUAUGAACUUAACUGGCAUUUUUAACAAGACAG